GUUGUUAUCUUUCACAUAUGCAUAACCUUUCAGGAGGCAUAUAACCUGGCUUGUUCUUAUUUUGACACAAUCUAGGUGGGGGCAAGAUAAUCAAGAUUAUGGUGAAGUAUGAGGUGAAAUUAACAAGUUAUGCAAACCUACCAGCUCAAGACAUAGCAGGGGCUACGUCGGGGGAAGCGACGGCGAUCGGCCUUGCCUCCAUGGCAUCAUGUCGAGAAGGAUGCCGGCCGGGAGCAGGGUGUAGUCGGGGCAGGAAGGGUGGGAGGUGAAGCUGGCCCGGUGGCGCCGGCCUCCUUGAGUUAGACACAUGGGAGCAGGAGGAGGCGAGCUCUAGCGGCGGCGAGAGGUGAGCUCCAAUACCAGCGGCAAGAGGUGAACUUGAGCAGCGGCGACAAGAGGAGAGCUCGAGCAGCGGCGGCAAGAGGCGAGCUAACGCGGCGGUGGAGCGCGUGAGGACGCCGGCCCACCCUUGAGAGGCCACCGACUCCAAGGACGGGAGGCCGCCCAUCGGCGCGAGGCUGCAUCGUGGGAGUCAACCGGCAGGAGGCUGCUAGCGCAAGCACGGGAUAACGAAGGUGUGAGGCUAAGAUUGAUCGAUUGGGGAUCAGAUGGCGGUUUUCGAAAUACGAAGGGUAAAAAUAAAGAAAUCUUUUCAACUACACUUCCGAUAGUAGUAUCGUUUAGUUGGUUGUUACGAAUGAUUAUGCUGGAACACUCGUGCAUUCCACAAUUUCAGGAUUUUAAAUUUGUUAAUGUUUACCAGAAA
Molecule: long non-coding RNA, 766 nt
Organism: Lolium perenne
Lineage: Eukaryota; Viridiplantae; Streptophyta; Magnoliopsida; Poales; Poaceae
Source: RefSeq, a predicted model, not a curated record